UACAGAGGGGGCAAGCGUUGUUAGGAAUUACUGGGCGUAAAGGGCGCGUAGGCGGCCCGCCAAGUCCCGUGUGAAAGCCCCCGGCUCAACCGGGGAACGGCGCGGGAAACUAGCAGGCUUGAGUUCGGGAGAGGGAAGCGGAAGUCCGGGUGUAGCGGUGAAAUGCGCAGAUAUCCGGAGGAACACCGGUGGCGAGGGCGGAUUCCUGGACCGACACUGACGCUGAGGCGCGAAAGCUAGGGGAGCAAACGGG
Molecule: ribosomal RNA, 253 nt
Filed under: uncultured bacterium
Lineage: Bacteria
Description: partial 16S ribosomal RNA
Rfam family: Bacterial small subunit ribosomal RNA
Source: RNAcentral